This 141-nucleotide ribosomal RNA is filed under the name Escherichia coli. RNAcentral's name for it is "partial 23S ribosomal RNA". It matches the Rfam family "Bacterial large subunit ribosomal RNA", at positions 1 to 140 of the family's 2925-position model. The record is from RNAcentral. Lineage: Bacteria; Pseudomonadati; Pseudomonadota; Gammaproteobacteria; Enterobacterales; Enterobacteriaceae.
GGUUAAGUGACUAAGCGUACACGGUGGAUGCCCUGGCAGUCAGAGGCGAUGAAGGACGUGCUAAUCUGCGAUAAGCGUCGGUAAGGUGAUAUGAACCGUUAUAACCGGCGAUUUCCGAAUGGGGAAACCCAGUGUGUUUCG